Molecule: ribosomal RNA, 303 nt
Filed under: uncultured bacterium
Lineage: Bacteria
Description: partial 16S ribosomal RNA
Rfam family: Bacterial small subunit ribosomal RNA
Source: RNAcentral
AGCAGUCGCCACGGUAAUACAGAGGGUGCGAGCGUUAAUCGGAUUUACUGGGCGUAAAGCGUGCGUAGGCGGCUUCUUAAGUCGGAUGUGAAAUCCCUGAGCUUAACUUAGGAAUUGCAUUCGAUACUGGGAAGCUAGAGUAUGGGAGAGGAUGGUAGAAUUCCAGGUGUAGCGGUGAAAUGCGUAGAGAUCUGGAGGAAUACCGAUGGCGAAGGCAGCCAUCUGGCCUAAUACUGACGCUGAGGUACGAAAGCAUGGGGAGCAAACAGGAUUAGAUACCCGAGUAGUCUCUGUCUCUUAUAC